AGCAGGGCAGAGAAAGAUGCUAAAAUUGCUCACUGUCUAGUAUACCUCUGCGGAUUUUACCUUCCCAACAGCCCUUCCCCUCCGUGGCAUCCAAAAUCAGAGACCACUGGGGGACCUGUCCCCACUCUUGAUUCCUGACUCUGUGAUGGUAACUUGUCCUUUCUUGGGAUUGAUGCCAACAAUGAAAACCAGAUGCCGAUGAUGACCAGUGGAUCACCACACAGAGAGCGUAUCUUAGAAAGAAACAAACAUGGAGAUGAAUGUCAUUUGCUGCGUCAGUGGUUUGAAGUCAAUAACCAUUGAUACUCUCCUUGGGGACCUCUUGGGCUUACAGAGGCAAUAUUUUAGAAUGAGGACACAGCCUGGUGAUGAAUGCUACAUGGGGUGUAAGAAAAGUCACGAAAGAUUUGAAUAACCUCUCAACCUUUGGCAGUGAGGUCACAGAGUGUCACUAGACCUUGAUGGAACAGGCAGCUGGACUGGAGAAUUUGCAAGUCUGACUCCACAAAGCAGUUUUGCUUUCCUCCUGAAGGAAUGGAUCUUGGAUCUGGUAGGAGCUAUUAGAGAUGGUGGGUGAUCUUCACUUGGAUGACUGGGAUCAGGAGAUGUGGACUAUUGAAUAUGAGCUGGUCUGCAUUAGGCCCAUUUUUAUUUAUUUAUUUUGCCAAGGAGAAGAAUAAUGCCUGUAAUUGAUAUAAAGUGUGUAAUAGUUCCCCUUGCCUCAAACGGUGACUUUUUAAAAUACAGGGUCAAGUUGGUG
RNAcentral lists this long non-coding RNA (760 nucleotides) under Microcebus murinus (gray mouse lemur). Its description in RNAcentral is "lncRNA (ENSMICG00000048784.1)". The record is from RNAcentral. Lineage: Eukaryota; Metazoa; Chordata; Mammalia; Primates; Cheirogaleidae.